GACUGCAUGGGAUUGGAGAAGAGGGGCCCAUUAAGAGAAAAGCCUCAGAGAUCGGCCUCAGUUUACUCCCUCCCUAAGGGCCCUUCAGCAUCUUCCACCCACGCCCUGUCAGCCUCCUAUCCUUCCCUCUGGCUCCAGGAGAUCAAAGUCCUCCAAAAAUGCAGCUGCUUCAGUGACAAGAGGGAAUUAUCUUCAGACUCAGGAGGAAUAUGGGGUUUAUUUCAAGUCCAUGGAGUGGCACAGUCUGAUUGAGAGGUGAUGGAACUGACACUCGGAGAGGUAGAGUAGCUUUAUUUACUUCACACAAGCUGUGGAUGAAUUUCAAAUCUCAACCUAGAAGGCUUCCUCUAAGAUUCGUGCUGUGCACUAACAUGCAAUACAAAUACUGAUGAAAAUAAAACUAUUGCCCUCCUACCAAAUGGCCAGUUCUUGGAGAGACCAGGAAGCCAAGAGUUUCCUCCAAGAAUGGGGAUACCUUGGAAGAGAGAUUCAUUUUGAGUCAAGAAAGACGAAUCACAUGCAGUCAUAGGCAAUUGCCCAGGGUCUCAAAAACAGGGCCAGAAAGAAGAGCUGGAGCUGGUGGGAUUGUGGGGGUCCUCUCUCCCACCUGAAAAGCUACUGCUGCCUGCUGACCCUCUCAGGAAGAGACCUCUCUGGUCUCCAGCACCUAAAACAGACAAAAUUGGGAGGAUGCUUCUCUCCUCUGUGUCACACAUGUCCUAGAGAAAAUCUGUGUAUCUGAAUGACCAAAGAAAACUAUGAGAAAAAAUGCAAAAUCUGUGCCAGGCCAUUCAGUGUCUAGUUGGGGCUCUGGGGUGUAUGUACAUUUGAAGAAAACUGAAGGGUGCUAAGCCUGCAGGAAAUGUCCCUCAGACCUGCCUGUCACACCUGGAGUAUGACUGCCCAUCCAGGUUCAUGAUGCAGAACUGUCUUUAAAAGGCCACUGUAGAUAUGGAGUGAUAGAACAUGAUAGAACAUGUUCAUCUAACACUGAUAGAACAUGACCAGCUCUCCCGCUGGGGAAAGCCACAUCCACUAGUGACAUGCUGCUUAAACUGGCCCAGACCACACUCUACUACCUAAGGAAUAAACCCCACAUUUGCUCUUUUUGGGUGAAGGCAGAAGGUGAGACAGGAGAGGAGUGUCCACACAGACAUGAGAAGCCUGCAGAUCCAGAUGACCCCCUUGCUGAUCAGCACAUUAAAGAUCGACGUAUGGAAACAAUGACCCUGUAGCAGAUCAGCUUCUACAGCAGGCUUCAACGAUGCGUCACCUGGACCCACUGGCAGAGAAGUCUGCCCCCACUCUAUGUUGAUGAUCUGGGGGAUAAAAUUACUGAGACAGAUAUAAGAAAUGAUCUCUAUCUGUUGGCGAGAUCCGGACAGUCACUGUUAUGCAGAGACAGAAGUGUGCUCUCAUCAGCUUUCCACAGGGCAGGCUGUGGAAAUGUACAUUGUACAUUGAUUGUCCAUGGCUACAGACUCACCGUCAAAUGGGGGAAGAUUCCAAGCCUUCAAGGAAACCCUGAAGAGCGGUCACAGGGGACCCUCAUUCACUGCUGUGCCUUCUCGCUGUUCCUAGAUUUAUUCCAGUUGUUAAGCAUUCGUGGCCAUUUAUCUGUGCAUCUGAUGCCGUGAUGUUUUUGCUGUAGGUAACUGAUGGAGUGAGUUGAGCUGCCAGGCUUCCUGGAGUGAUUCUUGGAUGCUGGGUCAUGUGCUUAGGGGCCCUGAUGGGACUGAACUAGAAGGAGCCAGAAUAGGACAGAACCCAACCCCUGAUGAGUGGCCACUGGUGGCCUGGCCUCAGGACCACAGGACACACUGUUCCCAGGGCACAGACACCCUGGGCUUUUGUUGGGUCUUGGCCUCCAGGUAGGGCCUGGUGGGCAGCGGGCAGCGACUCCUGAGACACUACUUUGAUUCUCAGUGGUGGCUGUGGUAAAAGACCUGCAGAGCUAGAGUUUAGUGUGAGAUUCAGGAGGAACUGUGGCCUCUCCCAGUGACAGUGCGUCACUCCCAUUCCCAGCACGCAUGCGCACAGGCCACGGCCUCCGCAUCACACACCCCCCACCAAGUCACCCAUCCAUGGGACAGCUCCCAUGCAGCAGGGUCAGGCUCUUACCUCCACCUCCAGGGCACAGACAGGGGCAGCUCUGUCUCACUGUAAGGCAAUGAGGAGAGCUGAGGACCUGGACAAGGCUGUGGGCCAUCCCCUUUCCCGAGCAGGCCUCAGGGAAGGACCAGUCCCAUCCCCAUCCAACCCAGGUCUCAGCCCAGGAGGCUGCAUAGGGAAGAAAGGACAGCCAGGGCCUCCAUGCUGGCUGACACUCAGGAGGGGCCGGGGCAAGAGAGCAGAGGGAGUGCAAGGCCAGGCAGGGGCUGCUGAGGAUCCAUGGGGGCUCAGGCUGCACAGUGAGGCUGCCCCUCCUGGGUUGCAGGCAGCAUCCCCUAUGGGAGCUGAGAAAGUCCAGUCCUGAGAUGGGACAGGGCUGCCCAGGGGUGUGUGGCUGGGCCCUGACAGCAGUCUCCCAAAAAGUGACCACAUCACCAGGCUGAGUUCCAGGAAGCCUGAGAAGUGUCCAGUACACCAAGGAUGCACCUGGAGCCCAUUCUGUCUAAUAGACUCUGACCAUCUUGCAUCCACCUGCCUCUCCUGCAUAUCAGCCACCACCCCUUCCCUUUUCCUCAUUUCUCCAUCGUGUGUAACCCAGAGACUGUGACCCUCUCUCCAGCCACAGUGGCCCUUCUUUUAGCCUUGUCCUGUCAGAGACCCUGAGCAAGACUCCCCAGACCCAUCCACAGGCCUGCCUUGUCCACUUACUAAUUGCUGUGCUGUGCACUGCUGGGGUGGCACGACAGGCAGUGAGGGUAACUGAAGGCCCCACAGGUGGCCAGCUUGGCCCUUUACCGCAUCGCUAGCCUCAGAGGGUUCUCAGGGUUGUCAACCAGCAGCCCUGGCUUGGGACACCUGGCUGUCCUCCUCCCACGGUUCUUUUCUGACUCUUCUGAUUCAGCCUCUCCCGCCUGUCCUUUGUCCGUGGUGAUGACCAAGCCAGCAGGGAGCAGGUCCCCAGAGGGUGCUGCUGAGCUUUGGAGACCGACCUAGGCUCCUUUGCUGAGGGGUCCGAGGAGUUUUACAGUUUCUGGUUAAAUAACAAUGGGAUAUCACCUCCCGUCUGUUAGGAUGGCUGCCAUAAAAAGGACAAAAGAUAACAAGUGUUGGUGAUGGUGUGGAGAGAAGGAAACCCUUGUAUGCUGCUGGUUAGAAUAAAGAAAAUUUUAAAACAGAAUCAAAAUAAUGGAAAUCAGUUAUCUGUCCUCUUACAGGGCAGGGAGAAAACCUCCUUCCCCGCAAGUUCAAGACUAUGGUUAGGUGGUGAGGAAGGCGGGCUCAGCACCCAAGCCUUGCGGAGACACAAAAAGGGCCCAUCCCAGGCACUCAGCUGGAGGUGGUCUGUCCUAGAGAAUGUUCCAUGUGAAUUUGCGAAGAAUACAUAUUCUCAUGUUGGAUGCAGUGCUGCGUAUAUGUUUGUUAGGUUUAGUUGUUUUAUAAUGUUCAUGUUUUCUAUUUUUUAUCUUCUGUCUACUUGUUCUAUCCAUUAAUGUAAGUGGGGCAUUAAAGUCUCCAACUAUUGUUGUUGAACUAUC
Chlorocebus sabaeus (green monkey) is the source of this 3647-nucleotide non-coding RNA. NCBI's taxonomy places the organism in Eukaryota, Metazoa, Chordata, Mammalia, Primates, Cercopithecidae. The record is from RefSeq and is a predicted model, not a curated record.